Molecule: long non-coding RNA, 201 nt
Filed under: Elaeis guineensis (African oil palm)
Lineage: Eukaryota; Viridiplantae; Streptophyta; Magnoliopsida; Arecales; Arecaceae
Description: long non-coding RNA (EGUI_LNC011589)
Source: RNAcentral
GAGAGAAAAAACACAUUGUCUACUUGAGUAGGGAAAACUAAAGAGUUUAAUAGAAACAUAUUAUUUUUUGAGUAAAAUAACAGCAAAGUUGAUGAUCGUUUACGUAUAAUGAUAGGAAGUUUUUCUAAACUAUAACAAUAACUGCUAUAAUAGAACUGAAAUAUCCUACAAGCGUAUUGGGGGGAUUUCUGCACUGGCCAA